GAUUCGGUAGGUGAGGCUACCUUGGGGAUAUGGGUCGGUGCCGUUAAAUGAUGGAGACAGCACGCCGCGGCCAGCAGCCGGUGUCGUAAAGGCACAGGCUAAUCCGAUUUCACGCCCCUUGAUGCUAAAGCUUGUACGACG
This 141-nucleotide small RNA is filed under the name pig gut metagenome. RNAcentral describes it as "M-box riboswitch (ykoK leader)". It matches the Rfam family "M-box riboswitch aptamer (ykoK leader)", at positions 11 to 157 of the family's 169-position model. Rfam says of the family: M-box riboswitch, also know as ykoK leader is described as a metaloregulatory RNA that sense divalent metals and function as a genetic control element of genes related to divalent metal transport in bacteria. It was first reported upstream of the B.subtilis ykoK gene and genes with related functions in other bacteria. The record is from RNAcentral.